CAGCAGCCACGGGAAUACGAAGGGGGCUAGCGUUGCUCGGAAUCACUGGGCGUAAAGGGUGCGUAGGCGGGUCUUUAAGUCAGGGGUGAAAUCCUGGAGCUCAACUCCAGAACUGCCUUUGAUACUGAAGAUCUUGAGUUCGGGAGAGGUGAGUGGAACUGCGAGUGUAGAGGUGAAAUUCGUAGAUAUUCGCAAGAACACCAGUGGCGAAGGCGGCUCACUGGCCCGAUACUGACGCUGAGGCACGAAAGCGUGGGGAGCAAACAGGAUUAGAUACCCCAGUAGUCCCUGUCUCUUAUAC
RNAcentral lists this ribosomal RNA (301 nucleotides) under uncultured bacterium. Its description in RNAcentral is "partial 16S ribosomal RNA". It matches the Rfam family "Bacterial small subunit ribosomal RNA", at positions 509 to 807 of the family's 1533-position model. The record is from RNAcentral.